Non-coding RNA from Lonchura striata (white-rumped munia), 156 nucleotides. The record is from RefSeq and is a predicted model, not a curated record. NCBI's taxonomy places the organism in Eukaryota, Metazoa, Chordata, Aves, Passeriformes, Estrildidae.
ACUGCUGCAGCCAAGCUGACAUACUGACACAUCCCUGUUAUCAGUGGUAUAAGGUGACCAUUCAGAUGGUUUGACAAACACACGAGGUGACUGAAAUACAGCAUGCAGCACACAAGCAAAAUGUCCAUCCAAGCAAAACAAAAAUCAAGAAUGACA